ACUUUGAAUCAAAAAUUUAAACUAUUAUAAUAAAUUGUGAUUCUACUUUUAUCUAUUCUUUCGCGUUUUACUAAAGAAUACCAUUCUAAAAAGGAUUAUUUUUUAAACCUU
This 111-nucleotide small nuclear RNA is filed under the name Amorphochlora amoebiformis. Its description in RNAcentral is "U5 snRNA". The record is from RNAcentral. Lineage: Eukaryota; Cercozoa; Chlorarachniophyceae.